UUUUGGACAAUGGGCGAAAGCCUGAUCCAGCAAUGCCGCGUGUGGGAAGAAGGCCUUCGGGUUGUAAACCACUUUUGUACGGAACGAAACGGUCUGCUUUGAUACAGUGGGCUAAUGACGGUACCGUAAGAAUAAGCACCGGCUAACUACGUGCCAGCAGCCGCGGUAAUACGUAGGGUGCGAGCGUUAAUCGGAAUUACUGGGCGUAAAGCGUGCGCAGGCGGUUAUAUAAGACAGUUGUGAAAUCCCCGGGCUCAACCUGGGAAUUGCAUCUGUGACUGUAUAGCUAGAGUACGGUAGAGGGGGAUGGAAUUCCGCGUGUAGCAGUGAAAUGCGUAGAUAUGCGGAGGAACACCGAUGGCGAAGGCAAUCCCCUGGACCUGUACUGACGCUCAUGCACGUA
RNAcentral lists this ribosomal RNA (403 nucleotides) under uncultured bacterium. RNAcentral describes it as "bacterial SSU rRNA". It matches the Rfam family "Bacterial small subunit ribosomal RNA", at positions 362 to 757 of the family's 1533-position model. The record is from RNAcentral.